CCUACGGGAGGCAGCAGUGAGGAAUAUUGGUCAAUGGGCGAGAGCCUGAACCAGCCAAGUCGCGUGAGGGAGUACUGCCCUAUGGGUUGUAAACCUCUUUUGUCGGGGAGCAAAAGCCGGACGUGUCCGGCUGUGAGAGUACCCGAAGAAAAAGAAUCGGCUAACUCCGUGCCAGCAGGCGCGGUAAUCCGGAGGAUGCGAGCGUUAGCCGGAUUUAUUGGGUUGAAAGGGUGCGCAGGCGGAUUUUUAAGUCAGCGGUAAAAUCGUGGGGCUCAACCCCAUCCAGCCGUUGAAACUGGGGAUCUAGAGUGUGCGAGAGGUAUGCGGAAUGCGUGGUGUAGCGGUGAAAUGCAUAGAUAUCACGCAGAACCCCGAUUGCGAAGGCAGCAUACCGGUGCACAACUGACGCUCAGGCACGAAAGCGUGGGUAUCGAACAGGAUCAGAUACCCUGGUAGUC
RNAcentral lists this ribosomal RNA (458 nucleotides) under uncultured bacterium. RNAcentral's name for it is "partial 16S ribosomal RNA". It matches the Rfam family "Bacterial small subunit ribosomal RNA", at positions 338 to 795 of the family's 1533-position model. The record is from RNAcentral.